This is a long non-coding RNA of Pipra filicauda (Wire-tailed manakin), 4261 nucleotides long. RefSeq lists it as uncharacterized. The transcript has 3 exons. The record is from RefSeq and is a predicted model, not a curated record. NCBI's taxonomy places the organism in Eukaryota, Metazoa, Chordata, Aves, Passeriformes, Pipridae.
AGUAUAUGGGUAGGAUGUAGCAUACUCUGUUCUGAAAUAGAACUGUUACAGAUUUGUUGUUAUUGGCAUAAAGGUUAUAGAGAUUGAUGAUUCCAGAGUUCUUAGCACACUUUGCAAAGCGAGAAGGGGGACAGCCCUCUUCUAUUGCCCUGCAGAAGUGUUUCAUGGGUUGGAGUCUUUUGCACACAGGUGCUCUCUGGGUAUCUGCACGAUGGAGGAGGCCUUGGGAAGAAGCUGGUUCUUCAGAACAAGCUGGAUGAGGUUCCUGCAGAGUUGAUGUGACUGACUUCUUUUUGAAAUCCAGCAGUGCUCUCAAGGAUAUUUCCCCCCCACUCCUGGCCUUGUGCAGGGCUGUUGAGUCCGUGUGUGCCACUGUUCUUGUCCCAGGGGGACCGAGUGACAUUUGGAACCAAACCUGGGUCCUUGGGACCGAGCCCAGAACUGAUCCUGUUCAUGACCCACAAGGGAUGAAACUGUUCUGCAAGCCCAGUUUGCAGAGCAGGAGCUUUGCAAUAAUCAGCAGUGAGCACAGGAAUUCAUUCCCCCGAAAUGUUCUGGGAAGGUUCUGUGUGUGCCAGCCCUGCUUCCUCCCCAGUGUGCCCUCCUUUGUGCUCCUCUGCCUCAAGGCCAGGGCUGGCUUUGGCCCUGCCCUUGUCCAGGCAGGAGUGCCCGUGGGCAGUGGGUUUGUCAGCAGUGGGCACAGCUCCCAGGGGCUGUUCUGGCUUUGGCCCUGCCCUUGUCCAGGCAGGAGUGCCCGUGGGCAGUGGGUUUGUCAGCAGUGGGCACAGCUCCCAGGGGCUGUUCUGGCUUUGGCCCUGCCCUUGUCCAGGCAGGAGUGCCCGUGGGCAGUGGUUUGUCAGCAGUGGGCACAGCUCCCAGGGGCUGUUCUGGCUUUGGCCCUGCCCUUGUCCAGGCAGGAGUGCCCGUGGGCAGUGGUUUGUCAGCAGUGGGCACAGCUCCCAGGGGCUGUUCUGGCUGGGCACACGUUGGCACAGGGGUACUGCAGUCCCAAGGACUUGGCUUGGGGCUUUUCAGGAAGGGCCAGAAAGACUUUCUUUGGCCACUUUUACCAUUCCUGAAAGUGAAAUCUCUGCACUGAAACUUCUCUAAAUAAACUGUCCAUUUUUUUAUUCCCCUGGAGUGAAGCUCCCAAUUUUGGAUGCCAGGGUGCUGCCAGCUUUAUUUGCCCAGCUGGGAGCAGUGUCUGUACAGGUCCCCAGUGUCUCCUGUCCUUGUCCUUUCUCAGUUGGGAAGUGAGCUGCUCUCCUCCCCUCUGACUCUGCCCUGGUCCCCAGCACCUGCUGAAGUUCAAGAGAGCAGCAGCUUAGGCCAAAGGUGUUCCUGCCCUUUAUCUGCUCCCCCUCCAGCCACGGCCCUGGCAGGGAGAGCCAGCUCUGAGCUCCCAAAUCUGCAGUGCCCAGGCAGGUGACCCGGAGCAGCUGAGAGCUCUGGUGGGCUCACACUGUCAGCUUUGCUUCUCCAUUGGCUUGGCUGGUUCCCGUUAGGAGAAGGUUUGUUUCCUCCACUGUGAUAAUUCAGGGAAAUCCUGAGAUAUGAUUUAAGAAAGAAAGUCAUGAGCUAUUGCAAUAAAUGUGAAUCUGAGAGUGCCUAAAAGCUGUUGCUGAAUUCCAUUUCCAGGGACUGUCCUGGUGGGGAUACUCCAGAAUUGCAGCUUUGAUGUUUCCAAAGGAGCCUGUGGUACUUCUUGUUUCCUGUGCUGGGCUUUCCUUGAACAGUGCCCAGGGAGGGGAGCAGCAACAGCUUCACUUGGAAGUGGACUCUGGUUUUUGAGAACAUCCUAAGCUCAGUGUGGUUUUGGUAUCACUCAGUACUUAUUUUAUUUGCCAUUUGCCUUAAAUUGUAUACACCUUUGAAGUGCCAGCUGUGUUUUGAAGACAUUCUUACAGUUGUUUCAAGUGAAACUUGGAAUGCUACACAUUUAGAAAGAGAUGAUUUUCCUGUGAAUAAACUACUAAAACAAAGGGGGGGAGUGAGGAAAGCCAAGUUCAGGAGAUAACCUUACCAACUGGUUUUGGAAGUUGUUUACCUAAAUGGCCCAAAGUGGUUGGAGCUGCAGCACAAACGGGGGGGAGAAGGAGAGGUUUUGUAUUUUGACAGUUCUUGAAGUUUUUUGCAGGGACUACUGCCAGGUUCUCUUUGAAGUCCAAAGCCCAUUAGCAUGGGGAAAUGUGUGUUUGGCUUCAGAGAUAGGAGGAGUGUGUAUUUCCCUUGGAACUAGAGGAAUGUUUCUGUGUCUUUGAAUUUUAAAUUGCACAUGAAGCAGAAAUAUGUUUGUGUUUUACAGGUGAUAUUUCCAUGAAAAUAGAAAUGUAAAAGGAGAAGAUGCAAAAAACGAGCUCGAGAGUCAGAGACACAUCCUCCUAGAGCUUUCUGCUCUCUGCUGCUCCAGGCCCCCCCUGUGCUGCUGGAGCACACGGGUCCCUGCCGUCCAGCACGCAGGCUGCAUUGUGCCAGCAGGCCUGAUGCAGUGUAUGUCCUGCAGCCUCGAAGAGUUUCUCAACUAUUCCCCCUUUUUCUUUUGCACAAUCCAGGCCUGACUGAUGGUCUUUUGCUUGGUUCAUCUCUUUGUUCUAUGUGGUUCUUGAGAACUUUUAUUUUGCCAAUGAAACUUCAUUUAACUCAGGGUUAUGUGCCUCCCACUCUUUAUCCAAAGGUGCUUAUGCAUCUGUAAGGUAAUAUGGUUUAGGCAUUUGUGAGCAAAACCAGAAUAUAUUAAUAAUCAUAUAUUCAUACACUCACAUGCAUACAUUCACACAACUUUCAUGCGUGAUGGCCAUCACUUCAUGCUCUCACACAAACAUACUUUUGAGCUGUAUUUUACUGUGUUUUCUGGUUGUGAACUGAGAAAUUAUCAUUCUUGUGUUUUGCCCUCAUCUGAGUAAGAUCUAAUUAUGCAUUUCUUGUUUUUAUGAAAGUAUAGCUUGGAAAACAUAAACAUAUUUCUGCUUCACGUUCAAUUCAAAACCCAAAUACGUACAAACAUUCUUAUAGUUUAAAGAUAAAUAUAUACUCAUAUUUUUAAAGCAAAACACGCACUUCUCUAUGCAAAUGGGCUUUUGGACUUCAAAGAGAACUUGUCAAUAGUCACUACAAAAACUUCAAAAGCUCCUCUUCACCAUGUUUAAAACAAUUCUGGCUAUUUAGGCAAGCAACCUCAAGUAACAGUCAGCAAGACCAUUUCAUGAACUUAUCUUUCCUCACUCCCCCCCCUUUUUUUUUUUUGUACUGAAAUUAAACUGUUAGGUUAGUUGUUGCAUAAAUAAAAAGCUUAGCUUUGUUGACUUUGAGCUAAGUGUCCCGUGCAAGGACAGGUCUUUAUAUGAUUUGCCUGUGGCAUGCUGUAUCUCAGGGGUCUGUCUUAACAUCAUCUUCUUUUUCACUGUUUCUGUCAAAUGUUUUUGGAGAGUUGUCAACUAAUAGCAAAAUGCCAGUUAAUCUCCAGUUAUACCAGAUGGUUGUUUCAGGGCCGAAGUUCCCCUCUCUCAGCUCUUGCAUCAUCCAGUUAAGCACAAAUACAUUCCCCCCCAUGGGCUGUGGUUGGACCAGGCCAUUGUGGAGCAAGUGAAGCAGCAGAUUGGUGAAAACCAAGGAAAACAACAGAGAAUAUCUACAACAAAGGACUAAUAGUAAAAGGGUAGGCAAUAAUCUCUUUGUAACCAUAUCCAUGUUUAGUGAAGAGCUCAGAAUAGGCUCCAGCUGCUCCUGCUUCAUUGGGUCAGCCAGGGGCACUUGCAGCUAUGCCGUGGUUGCAGGUAAUCCCCAUCUCUCUGCAGUCAGCAUACAGGGGGGCAGCAUCCUACUGCUGAAUGGAGAUGUGAUCUCCACGUUGGAAUAGAUGAACAGGAGUGUUUAAUCUCACGGGGUCAGAUUGCAGAAUGAAUCUGUGGAAUUUCUGCAAAAUAGAGCCUAGACUAUUAAACAAUUGUCACAAAAGAAUUUCAAAUUUCAGAAUUUUUGUAACUUGACUGUACGAGAGGAAUAUAGGUUUUAUAGUACGAAGUGGCUGGCUGUCAGUUACUAAUAAAAGGCUGUGGUUGUUGUCCCGAUUAAUAGAAAAAAUGAAAAAGCAACUAGAAUAGUUUCCUUAAUUUACUGUAUUCUGCAUCAUCUUCCCAGCUUCUGGUCAAGCUCGCUGGAGCCACAGACUGGCUCCUCUAUUCAUGAGAAUUACUAAUGACAGAUUGAGAAUGAAUACAUUUUUAUUUGUGACUCUUUUCAUUAAUUUUAAUAUUAUCUCUAA